Molecule: non-coding RNA, 4035 nt
Organism: Homo sapiens (human)
Lineage: Eukaryota; Metazoa; Chordata; Mammalia; Primates; Hominidae
Source: RefSeq, a predicted model, not a curated record
UGGUCUCCAACUCCUUGCCUCAAGUGAUCCUCCCACCUCAGCCUCAGGUUCUUUGAACAUAAUUAUUCCCAAAUUACAAGUAGAGAUAACUGAAUCUCAGAGAGGUUAACUUGCCUAAGGUCACACAGCUAUGAAAUGGAGAAAGGGUAAGAAAAUCCGUCUGACCUUCCUUCAGUUAUGCAAAAGAUGUCAUGUGGUGGGUGGUGUGACCUCAGAAAACCUAGAGGAGUGGGGGUCCAGGCUGGUGGUGGGGUAAAAGACCCAAGUGAACACACCUGUCCUGCUGGGGUAACUACUCACCCCUAGGCCACAGGGCAAGCAAAGUGGCAAGCCGCAAAUUGAAUUGGGGGGCUGGAGGGGGAUGUUUCAUUGAUGUCACAAAUGAGCAUGGACCCCAUAUCUGCAGCAGGGAUGGUUCAGGGCCAGUCAAGGAGAUGAUCGGGGCCCACGGACCCUCAAACGCGUCAGGAAGCCAGAGCUAUCAGCUUCCCAGUUUGCACACUUCAUCAAGAAAUAAUGCGGGGCCACUGGCACAAAUGAUGAGGCAUCUCCCGGAAGCUUAACUUCCUAUCCAUCCCAUCUCUUGGACAGACGAUGCCAGUUAAUUACUUUGAAUAGAAGAAGAUACAGAAAAUGAAAAUGAAAAUAAAAUUUGGUACUACAGUGCAAAGGUUCAGCUUGCAGAAUUAAUUGACUGUCUAGACAAAGAUUAUUGGGAAGCAGAACUCUGCAAAAUUCUGGAAGAAAUGCAUGAAGAAAUCCACCGACACAUGGACAUAACUGAAGACCUGACCGAUAAGGCUCGGGGCAGUAUCAAAUCCUUUCUGGCAACAGCUAAUGGCAAGAGGGGCAUUUUCUCAUUUUAUUUUUGUUAAGUCUGAGCUAAACUGUUGGUAUGAAAUCACUGCAAAAUUUAAAAAUAGAUUAAAAUUUUCUUUUCUUUCUUUUUUUUUUUUUUGAUUUGGAGUCUCGCUCUGUCGCCCAGGCUGGAGCGCAGUGGCACAAUCUUGGCUCACUGCAACCUCUGCCUCCCAGGUUCACGCCAUUCUCCUGCCUCAGCCUCCCGAGAAGCUGGGACUACAGGUGCCCACCGCCACCACGCCCGGCUAAAUUUUUGUAUUUUUAGUAGAAACGGGGUUUCACCAAGUUAGCCAGGAUGGUCUCGAUCUCCUGACCUCGUGAUCCAACCGCCUUGGCCUCCCAAAGUGCUGGGAUUACAGGCUUGAGCCAUCGUGUCUGGCCAAAAAUAGAUUAAAAUUUUCAAGUACAGUCAUGCAUUGUUUAAUGAUGGGGAUACAUUCUGAAAAAUGUGUCAUUUGGCGAUGUCCCAAUUGUGUGAACAUCAUAGAGUACACUUAUACAAACCUAGAUGGUAUGGUUUCCUAUACACCUAGGUUAUAUGGCAUAGCCUAUUGCUGCUAGGCUGCAAACCUGUAUGUCCUGUGACUGUACUGAAUCCCGUGAUCAGCUGUAGCACAACGGUAGGUAUUUGUGUAUCUAACCAUAUCUAAACAUUUAAAAAGGUACUACAUAAAAUCUUAUGGGAUCACCGUCAUGUAUGUGGUUCCUCGUGGACUGAAACAUUGUGCAGUGUAUGGCUGUGUGUAUAUUUUACUUUAGUUCUCCAUAUUUCAUUUUCCGAAGAGAACCUUGUUCAUUCCCACAUAAAUUAGGGAUGCUAUACAUUUUAGUGUUUUAUUUCUGCCUUGGGUCAUUACUAAUAUUCCCCAAAAUGUUAGUUUUUUUCUUUAAUUCAAGUAUCUUUUUAAACUUUUUUGGCAUUCCAGCUUUUAAGAAAUAAUAUUUUUUGAACUUUUUGCCUUUUUAAAAAAAUAAAACUUUAAAUUUUAGAAUAAUUUUAGAUUUGUACAAAAGUUGCAAAGAUAGUAGAGGGUUUCCGUAUAUCCUGUACUUGGUUGCCCCAGUUAUUAACAUCUUAGAUUAGUGUGGGAUAUUUGUUACAACUAAUGGGCCAGUGUUGACACACUGUUAUUAACUCAAGUCCAUACUUUACUCAGAUUUCCUUAGUUUUUACCUGAUGUCUUUUUUCUGCCUCAUGAUCCUAUACCACAUGAUAUUUAGUCAUCAUGUUUUCCUCUAGACUGUCGGUUUCUCAGACUUUCCUUGUUUUUGAUGGCCUUGACAGUUUGGAGGAGUACUGGUUAGGUAUGUUGUAGAAAGCCCUCCUUAUGGGUUUUUCUCAUGGUUAGCCUAGGUUUUUGCAUUUUGGGGAGGAAGACCACAGAGGUGAUGUGCAGUUCUCGUCUUAUCAAGAGUGCAUGCUGUCGUCGUGACUUAUCACUGAUGAUGUUAACCUUGGUCCUCUGGGUGAGGCAGUGUUUGUCAGGUUUCCCUACAUCCUCCCCCAUCUCCUCAAACCCCCAAUACUGUAAGUCACUGUAAACAGCCACACUUAGUGGGUGGGGAGUUAUGUUCUACCUUCCUGAAGGGGCAAUAUCUACAUAAAUUAUUUGGAUUUUUUCUGCACAGGAGAUUUGUUUAUUCGUUUAUUUUUUCAGACAUUUAUUUCUAUGAGUAUAUAUUCAUGGAUAUUUAUUUUAUAUUCAUUGGGUUAUAACUGGUUAUUUAUUAGGUUAUAAUUCAAUGUCACCUUAUUUAUUUUGUUACUCAACUCUGCUUUUCUUUUUAUUUAAGUUUUAAAAACAUACAUACCUUAAAAGUUUAAAUAGUAUAAAAAGGUAUGCUGUGAAAAAUGAAUCUCUCUCCUUCAUAAUCUCCAAUCUGACCUCCUUUCUCCAGAGGCAAUCAUUAUUGCUAUUUUUUCAUCCUGCUAGAUGUAUUCUGUGCAUGUUUAAUAAAUACCACCUGUGUUUUCUAAUAUAGCCAUCCCUCAGUAUUCUCAGGGAUUGCUUCCUGAGCCCUCUGCAGAUAGCAAAAUCUGUGGAUGCCCAAAUCCUGCAGUCAGCCCUAUGGAACCUGCUGAUAUGAAAAGUUGGCAUUCCACAUCCAAGAGUUCUGCAUCUUGAGAAUACUGUAUUUUCAAUCUGAGGUUGAUUGAAUCCAAGGAUGCGGAACCUUUGGCCACAGAGGGCCAACUGCAGUGCCUUUUAAGUUUUAACUUAGAUAAAAUUGUUAGGUAAGAUUCUGCAAGUACACUUUUAAGUGCCUGGUUCUGAGUUCUGCUCUUCUGCAUACAUUAUCUGCCAUACAUAUAAUCCUAUUAAUUUUCCCCAUUCUCCAUUUGCUUAAAAAUAGAAUGUUUAUAUUUAAUUAAGACACCCAGAUAGCUGCAUCCAAGCUUGUUCUCACAUAUUCUGCAUCAAUAUUCCUGUGAAUUCGUGCAUAUUUUUGGAGAAUGAUAGGCUCUCACAUAUAAAUAGUGUUGGGCACAAAUAUACUUCAUCUGCAGAAAAAAGCAUUCUUAGUUACUGUGAAUUAUAUUUAUUCAUAUCUGGUAGUUGGAAGUAUUUCUCUAUUAGAUCUGUUUAGAAAAAUGUGUAAUUUUUUUAUUAGAAAGGUUUUAGUGUUCAGGAGUUAGGAUCAGUAAUUGCAAUAACACAAUCACGGUCUUACUCUUUCCUCCAUAUAUAUCAAAUCAUAGGAAAUUUUAUUAAUUUCAGCCAGCUUACUCCCCCCCUUCAUUUCCUUUUAUGAAUCAUGGCAUUAAAAUAGACAAAUCCCUUUUUGCUCUCUCGUGUUUUGGUACAAUAACAGAUAACAAUCUUUAGUCCCCUAAAAGGCAAUGUGAGAUAUGAUUUUAUAAAGUAUGUUGAAUUAGAAAUGUUUCCCAGAGUAAAAAAUAAAAAUAGAAAAAAAAAAACAAAAAACAAUCAGAAGAAUAAAUAUUUUCAAGGGCAAGCUUGUCUGUGUAUAAAAUUAUAUAUACAGUAUAAUCAUAAUUAAAGAACAAAAUCAAAACAGGAAUGGAUAAUCAAAAGUGUUAAGUGGUCUGAUUUGGGGCAAUGUAAAAAACUAAAAAUGUUAAUAUAGGGCAAUUGGAAAAUUUCAUUAUGAAUUUUCAUGUGAUAGAACACUACGUAUUGGAGAAUUAAGUAAAGUACCAUGCAAAAACUG